This 454-nucleotide ribosomal RNA is filed under the name Citrobacter koseri. Its description in RNAcentral is "partial 23S ribosomal RNA". It matches the Rfam family "Bacterial large subunit ribosomal RNA", at positions 411 to 867 of the family's 2925-position model. Lineage: Bacteria; Pseudomonadati; Pseudomonadota; Gammaproteobacteria; Enterobacterales; Enterobacteriaceae. The record is from RNAcentral.
AGUAGGGCGGGACACGUGGUAUCCUGUCUGAAUAUGGGGGGACCAUCCUCCAAGGCUAAAUACUCCUGACUGACCGAUAGUGAACCAGUACCGUGAGGGAAAGGCGAAAAGAACCCCGGCGAGGGGAGUGAAAAAGAACCUGAAACCGUGUACGUACAAGCAGUGGGAGCCUCUUUUAUGGGGUGACUGCGUACCUUUUGUAUAAUGGGUCAGCGACUUAUAUUCUGUAGCAAGGUUAACCGCAUAGGGGAGCCGAAGGGAAACCGAGUCUUAACUGGGCGUUAAGUUGCAGGGUAUAGACCCGAAACCCGGUGAUCUAGCCAUGGGCAGGUUGAAGGUUGGGUAACACUAACUGGAGGACCGAACCGACUAAUGUUGAAAAAUUAGCGGAUGACCUGUGGCUGGGGGUGAAAGGCCAAUCAAACCGGGAGAUAGCUGGUUCUCCCCGAAAGCU